CAAGAGUUGGUGUCCAGUCUGAAGGAACAAAGGAAUCAACUGUGUUUUGGAGGCGGACAGGCUGGGAGUCUGUGACACAUGUUGAUCUCUGAAGCAUUCCAUGAGUUUCUAUGUUCUAUAAGGGAAUAUUUGGAUUGUGAACUGUUUCAGAACUUUGUUCUCAGGACCUAUUAUUUUAACAUUUGGGAGAAACACAUCCAGAAGAUGCACAGUUGACUGAAGGAGGACCUGAGAAGGCUUCAGAUGACAUCAGAGGUGCUUUUCAACAGCCUUCUUGAUUUCCUUUCUCAGAAAGCAGAGGCUCAAACCUUGGAGACAGACGUUCACUGGAGUCCUCCUCUUAAGCUCCCAACUACCUYGUCUGUAUCUCUGUGUUGUGGGUGCCAUGGCAAGACCUGUGGCAAGCCAUCACUGCUGUAGGGAGUGAACACGUCAGACCUGGACACAACAAAGCUGGAUCUCUGAUUAACAGUAACUUCUUCAGUUAAACUGAGUUUAUUACUUGAAACACUUGGUUAUAUACACAGGUGAGCAAAAGAGAGGUCAGGGGAAAGUGUGCAUGAAAAUUUCUUAAAUAUAUGUGAAACCAUUUAAAG
RNAcentral lists this long non-coding RNA (596 nucleotides) under Urocitellus parryii (Arctic ground squirrel). Its description in RNAcentral is "lncRNA (ENSUPAG00010019518.1)". Lineage: Eukaryota; Metazoa; Chordata; Mammalia; Rodentia; Sciuridae. The record is from RNAcentral.